UCAUUUAUUGCUAAAAAUCUCCCCUCGGCCAGCUGCCCCAGCAGGUUCCACCAUAAUAGUUGCCUGGGUUACGUAUGUAUGUGUGGGGGCGGAGCCGUUGUGACAUGAGGUUUAUUCAUGAGAUUCUUGCACUGCAUACACAACAUUGUUCCUCUGUUAUGAUCAUGACCUUCAUGAUGAGUCAUACUAGACUUUACUUCCUGGUUGCGUCAUCGUGUCACAUGUCCUCUCGCAUUUUAAAGCUCUGGGGAGUUUCAGCAAAGUGUCAAAAUGAGAAAUGAGCUUUGUGGAUCGUACAAAUCAGACCGCCGAUGGCACACGACGUGAAAGGUCUCAGAGUAAUAAAUCAAGGUGGAUUAGCUGACGUUAUCGUGUCGAGGUUGUAGAUCGGAUUAGAUUGUACCACAAGACCAGUUGAUUUGUCUCAGCAUCUAUAUAGACCCG
Long non-coding RNA from Tachysurus fulvidraco (yellow catfish), 444 nucleotides. RefSeq lists it as uncharacterized. NCBI's taxonomy places the organism in Eukaryota, Metazoa, Chordata, Actinopteri, Siluriformes, Bagridae. The transcript has 2 exons. The record is from RefSeq and is a predicted model, not a curated record.